GCUUUGCUCUGGUGUGCAAUGGUUAUGAGUGUAGGCCUGGAUGCUGAAAUAUGGCCUCUAACUGAUGUGAGAGAAAGUUAACAAGAGGCUAUGAAUAUUUUAUCAAGGCCUAUCAAAAGAUGCCAAGGAUUAAACCCGGACCUCUAAUAUGUGCC
Long non-coding RNA from Crotalus tigris (Tiger rattlesnake), 155 nucleotides. RefSeq lists it as uncharacterized. NCBI's taxonomy places the organism in Eukaryota, Metazoa, Chordata, Lepidosauria, Squamata, Viperidae. The transcript has 3 exons. The record is from RefSeq and is a predicted model, not a curated record.